RNAcentral lists this non-coding RNA (174 nucleotides) under Streptomyces glaucescens. Its description in RNAcentral is "SAM-I sequence". It matches the Rfam family "SAM riboswitch aptamer (S box leader)". Rfam says of the family: The SAM riboswitch is found upstream of a number of genes which code for proteins involved in methionine or cysteine biosynthesis in Gram-positive bacteria. The SAM riboswitch acts at the level of transcription termination control. Lineage: Bacteria; Bacillati; Actinomycetota; Actinomycetes; Kitasatosporales; Streptomycetaceae. The record is from Rfam by way of RNAcentral.
AGCUCAUCCAGAGGGGCAGAGGGACACGGCCCGAUGAAGCCCCGGCAACCCUCCAGCCGGUCUCGUAGAUCACCGCCGAUCACGCCGAUCGCAUUGAUCGCUUCCGCGAGGCUCCCGGCUAGGGAAGGUGCCAAAUCCGUCUCACGGCGAAGUGCGUCGUGAGGAAGAUGAGGA